CACGUAGGGUGCAGGCGUUAAUCGGAAUUACUGGGCGUAAAGCGUGCGCAGGCGGUUUGCUAAGACAGGUGUGAAAUCCCCGGGCUUAACCUGGGAACUGCGCUUGUAACUGGCAAGCUGGAGUGUGGCAGAGGGGGGUGGAAUUCCACGUGUAGCAGUGAAAUGCGUAGAGAUGUGGAGGAACACCGAUGGCGAAGGCAGCCCCCUGGGCUAACACUGACGCUCAUGCACGAAAGCGUGGGGAGCAAACAGG
Molecule: ribosomal RNA, 253 nt
Filed under: uncultured bacterium
Lineage: Bacteria
Description: partial 16S ribosomal RNA
Rfam family: Bacterial small subunit ribosomal RNA
Source: RNAcentral